This 1485-nucleotide ribosomal RNA is filed under the name Salmonella enterica. RNAcentral's name for it is "partial 23S ribosomal RNA". It matches the Rfam family "Bacterial large subunit ribosomal RNA", at positions 492 to 1874 of the family's 2925-position model. Lineage: Bacteria; Pseudomonadati; Pseudomonadota; Gammaproteobacteria; Enterobacterales; Enterobacteriaceae. The record is from RNAcentral.
GAACCAGUACCGUGAGGGAAAGGCGAAAAGAACCCCGGCGAGGGGAGUGAAAAAGAACCUGAAACCGUGUACGUACAAGCAGUGGGAGCACAGGUUUACCUGUGUGACUGCGUACCUUUUGUAUAAUGGGUCAGCGACUUAUAUUCUGUAGCAAGGUUAACCGUAUAGGGGAGCCGUAGGGAAACCGAGUCUUAACCGGGCGUUAAGUUGCAGGGUAUAGACCCGAAACCCGGUGAUCUAGCCAUGGGCAGGUUGAAGGUUGGGUAACACUAACUGGAGGACCGAACCGACUAAUGUUGAAAAAUUAGCGGAUGACCUGUGGCUGGGGGUGAAAGGCCAAUCAAACCGGGAGAUAGCUGGUUCUCCCCGAAAGCUAUUUAGGUAGCGCCUCGUGAAUUCAUCUCCGGGGGUAGAGCACUGUUUCGGCUAGGGGGCCAUCCCGGCUUACCAACCCGAUGCAAACUGCGAAUACCGGAGAAUGUUAUCACGGGAGACACACGGCGGGUGCUAACGUCCGUCGUGAAGAGGGAAACAACCCAGACCGCCAGCUAAGGUCCCAAAGUCAUGGUUAAGUGGGAAACGAUGUGGGAAGGCCCAGACAGCCAGGAUGUUGGCUUAGAAGCAGCCAUCAUUUAAAGAAAGCGUAAUAGCUCACUGGUCGAGUCGGCCUGCGCGGAAGAUGUAACGGGGCUAAACCAUGCACCGAAGCUGCGGCAGCGAACGUAUCACCCAAGACAACUUUACGGAGUUGACGAUUGACGGAGCGAAGCGACGUCAAAGCGUUCAUUAAAGUCGAGUUGGCUUAGGGAUACGUUCGUUGGGUAGGGGAGCGUUCUGUAAGCCUGUGAAGGUGUGUCGUGAGGCAUGCUGGAGGUAUCAGAAGUGCGAAUGCUGACAUAAGUAACGAUAAAGCGGGUGAAAAGCCCGCUCGCCGGAAGACCAAGGGUUCCUGUCCAACGUUAAUCGGGGCAGGGUGAGUCGACCCCUAAGGCGAGGCCGAAAGGCGUAGUCGAUGGGAAACGGGUUAAUAUUCCCGUACUUGGUGUUACUGCGAAGGGGGGACGGAGAAGGCUAUGUUGGCCGGGCGACGGUUGUCCCGGUUUAAGCGUGUAGGUGUGUGUUCCAGGUAAAUCCGGUUCACUUUAACACUGAGGCGUGACGACGAGGCACUACGGUGCUGAAGCAACAAAUGCCCUGCUUCCAGGAAAAGCCUCUAAGCAUCAGGUAACACGAAAUCGUACCCCAAACCGACACAGGUGGUCAGGUAGAGAAUACCAAGGCGCUUGAGAGAACUCGGGUGAAGGAACUAGGCAAAAUGGUGCCGUAACUUCGGGAGAAGGCACGCUGACACGUAGGUGAAGUGAUUUACUCAUGGAGCUGAAGUCAGUCGAAGAUACCAGCUGGCUGCAACUGUUUAUUAAAAACACAGCACUGUGCAAACACGAAAGUGGACGUAUACGGUGUGACGCCUGCCCGGUGCCGGAA